GACGAACGCUGGCGGCGUGCCUAACACAUGCAAGUCGAGCGGAGUCGAUCGACGGAAGCCUUCGGGCGGAAGAUGGUUGACUUAGCGGCGGAUGGGUGAGUAACGCGUGGGCAACCUGCCUCGAAGACCGGGAUAACAGUCCGAAAGGGCUGCUAAUACCGGAUGUGGUCAAGGAUCCGCAUGGAUUUUUGAUUAAAGGGGAAACCCGUUUCGAGAUGGGCCCGCGUCCUAUCAGCUAGUUGGUGAGGUAAAAGCUCACCAAGGCGACGACGGGUAGCCGGCCUGAGAGGGUGACCGGCCACGACUGGAACUGAGACACGGUCCAGACUCCUACGGGGGCAGCAGUGGGGAAUCUUCCACAAUGGGCGAAAGCCUGAUGGAGCGACGCCGCGUGAGCGAAGAAGGCCUUGGGUUGUAAAGCUCUGUCUGGAGGGACGAAGGAAGUGACGGUACUCCGGAGAGCCACGGCUAACUACGUGCCAGCAGCCGCGGUAAAAUCAACGUGUA
RNAcentral lists this ribosomal RNA (507 nucleotides) under uncultured bacterium. RNAcentral's name for it is "bacterial SSU rRNA". It matches the Rfam family "Bacterial small subunit ribosomal RNA", at positions 28 to 536 of the family's 1533-position model. The record is from RNAcentral.